CCCCCUGGGCUACACUGACGCUCAUGCACGAAAGCGUGGGAGCAAACAGGAUUAGAUACCCUGGUAGUCCACGCUCUAAACGAUGUCAACUGGUUGUCGGGGAAGCAAUUCCUUGGUAACGAAGCUAACGCGUGAAGUUGACCGCCUGGGGAGUACGGCCGCAAGGUUAAAACUCAAAGGAAUUGACGGGGACCCGCACAAGCGGUGGAUUAUGUGGAUUAAUUCGAUGCAACGCGAAAAACCUUACCUACCCUUGACAUGUACGGAACCUCGCAGAGAUGCGGGGGUGCCCGAAAGGGAGCCGUAACACAGGUGCUGCAUGGCUGUCGUCAGCUCGUGUCGUGAGAUGUUGGGUUAAGUCCCGCAACGAGCGCAACCCUUGUCAUUAGUUGCCACAUUCAGUUGGGCACUCUAAUGAGACUGCCGGUGACAAACCGGAGGAAGGUGGGGAUGACGUCAAGUCCUCAUGGCCCUUAUGGGUAGGGCUUCACACGUAAUACAAUGGCCGGUACAGAGGGCAGCCAACCCGCGAGGGGGAGCUAAUCCCAGAAAGCCGGUCGUAGUCCGGAUUGUUCUCUGCAACUCGAGAGCAUGAAGUCGGAAUCGCUAGUAAUCGCGGAUCAGCAUGUCGCGGUGAAUACGUUCCCGGGUCUUGUACACACCGCCCGUCACACCAUGGGAGUGGGUUUCACCAGAAGUAGUUAGCCUAACCGCAAGGAGGGCGACUACCACGGUGAGAUUCAUGACUGGGGUGAAGUCGUAACAAGGUAACCAAGGG
RNAcentral lists this ribosomal RNA (778 nucleotides) under uncultured bacterium. RNAcentral describes it as "bacterial SSU rRNA". It matches the Rfam family "Bacterial small subunit ribosomal RNA", at positions 726 to 1506 of the family's 1533-position model. The record is from RNAcentral.